AGAUAUUUCUUUCAACUGAGUAUCAUUUUGCUGCUUCUGGAAUCGUUGAGGAUAUGACAGUGGUGGAAUCUUAGCUUUAACCGGACAACUCUUUUGUGGAAAUUUUUCUGUAUCCGACAAGGGUGUUAGGUAAUCAGAACUAAUUGGUUUAGAGUUUACCUCAUCAAGGAUCACCGUAUCUGACUUUUGUGGAAUAGGAGUUUCAACACUCAGUUGAAC
This 219-nucleotide long non-coding RNA is filed under the name Gossypium barbadense (sea-island cotton). RNAcentral's name for it is "long non-coding RNA (GBAR_LNC010196)". Lineage: Eukaryota; Viridiplantae; Streptophyta; Magnoliopsida; Malvales; Malvaceae. The record is from RNAcentral.